AACGAACGCUGGCGGCGCGCUUAACACAUGCAAGUCGAGCGAGACCACUGGAUCGAAUCCCGUCCGGGUGCGUAACCCGUGGGAACACGGCCUCGGGUUGGGAAAAACUUCAGGAAACGGCCAUCAAAACUGGAAAAUGCCUUCGGACCAAAGAUUUAUCGCAUAUGGAUGGGUCCGCAUAGGAUUAGCUAGUUGGCAACGUCAAAGCCUACCAAGGCGACGAUCCGUAGCUGGACUGAGAGGACGAUCAGCCACACUGGAACUGAGACACGGCCCAGACUCCUACGGGAGGCAGCAGUGGGGAAUAUUGGACAAUGGGCGCAACCCUGAUCCAGCAAUGCCGCGUGAGUGAAGAAGGCCUUAGGGUUGUAAAGUUCUUUUACCCGGGAUGAUAAUGACAGUACCGGGAGAAUAAGCUCCGGCUAACUCCGUG
RNAcentral lists this ribosomal RNA (433 nucleotides) under uncultured bacterium. Its description in RNAcentral is "partial 16S ribosomal RNA". It matches the Rfam family "Bacterial small subunit ribosomal RNA", at positions 29 to 507 of the family's 1533-position model. The record is from RNAcentral.